Molecule: ribosomal RNA, 483 nt
Filed under: uncultured bacterium
Lineage: Bacteria
Description: bacterial SSU rRNA
Rfam family: Bacterial small subunit ribosomal RNA
Source: RNAcentral
AGGACGAACGCUGGCGGCGUGCUUAACACAUGCAAGUCACGGGGGCUCGCAAGAGCAACCGGCGAACGGGUGCGUAACACGUGAGCAACCUGCCUUAGUGCAGGGGAUAGCCGGCCCAACGGCCGGGUAAUACCGCAUACGGAUCCACUGGGGGGAGUCCCUGGUGGAGGAAACCUCCGGGGCACUGAGAGGGGCUCGCGGCCUAUCAGGCUGGUUGGCGGGGUAAUGGCCCACCAAGGCGACGACGGGUAGCUGGUCUGAGAGGAUGGCCAGCCACAUUGGGACUGAGAGACGGCCCAGACUCCUACGGGAGGCAGCAGUGGGGAAUCUUGCGCAAGGGUCGAAAGACUGACGCAAGCGACGCCGCGUGUGGGAGGAAGCCCUUCGGGGUGUAAACCACUGUUGCCCGGGACGAAUGACCCUUUCGAGGGGAGUGACGGUACCGGGUGAGGAAGCACCGGCUAACUCCGUGCCAGCCGCUGC